This 453-nucleotide ribosomal RNA is filed under the name uncultured bacterium. RNAcentral describes it as "bacterial SSU rRNA". It matches the Rfam family "Bacterial small subunit ribosomal RNA", at positions 340 to 786 of the family's 1533-position model. The record is from RNAcentral.
UACGGGAGGCAGCAGUGGGGAAUAUUGCACAAUGGGCGCAAGCCUGAUGCAGCCAUGCCGCGUGUAUGAAGAAGGCCUUCGGGUUGUAAAGUACUUUCAGUCGUGAGGAAGGUGUUAAGGUUAAUAACCUUAGCAAUUGACGUUAGCGACAGAAGAAGCACCGGCUAACUCCGUGCCAGCAGCCGCGGUAAUACGGAGGGUGCGAGCGUUAAUCGGAAUUACUGGGCGUAAAGGGCACGCAGGCGGUUAAUUAAGUUGGAUGUGAAAUCCCCGGGCUUAACCUGGGAAUGGCAUUCAGGACUGGUUAGCUAGAGUCUUGUAGAGGGGGUAGAAUUCCAUGUGUAGCGGUGAAAUGCGUAGAGAUGUGGAGGAAUACCGGUGGCGAAGGCGGCCCCUGGACAAGGGCUGACGCUCAUGUGCGAAAGCGUGGGGAGCAAACAGGGAUUAGAUACC